GGAUGUCUCGAUUACCGUGUA
Molecule: non-coding RNA, 21 nt
Filed under: Arabidopsis thaliana (thale cress)
Lineage: Eukaryota; Viridiplantae; Streptophyta; Magnoliopsida; Brassicales; Brassicaceae
Source: RNAcentral